RNAcentral lists this unclassified non-coding RNA (231 nucleotides) under plant metagenome. RNAcentral's name for it is "partial contains small subunit ribosomal RNA, internal transcribed spacer 1, and 5.8S ribosomal RNA". The record is from RNAcentral.
UCUCCGUUGGUGAACCAGCGGAGGGAUCAUUACAGAGUUGCAAAACUCCCAAACCAUUGUGAACGUUACCUAUCCCGUUGCUUCGGCGGGCGGCCCGGGCCCCGCGCCCGGCGCCCCCCGGCCCCCCGUGGGCGCCCGCCGGAGGUAAACCAAACCCUUGAAUUGCAUGGCCUCUCUGAGUCUUCUGUACUGAAUAAAUCAAAACUUUCAACAACGGAUCUCUUGGUUCUG